AACGCUAGCUACAGGCUUAACACAUGCAAGUCGAGGGGCAUCAGGGUAGCAAUGCCGCUGGCGACCGGCGCACGGGUGAGUAACACGUAUCCAACCUACCGUUAACUCGGGGAUAGCCUUUCGAAAGAAAGAUUAAUACCCGAUAGUAUAUUUUCUUCGCAUGUUGAAAAUAUUAAAGAAUUUCGGUUAUCGAUGGGGAUGCGUUCCAUUAGGCAGUUGGCGGGGUAACGGCCCACCAAACCUACGAUGGAUAGGGGUUCUGAGAGGAAGGUCCCCCACAUUGGAACUGAGACACGGUCCAAACUCCUACGGGAGGCAGCAGUGAGGAAUAUUGGUCAAUGGACGAAGGUCUGAACCAGCCAAGUAGCGUGAAGGAUGACUGCCCUAUGGGUUGUAAACUUCUUUUAUAUGGGAAUAAAGUUCUCCACGUGUGGAGUUUUGUAUGUACCAUUAUGAAUAAGCAUCGGCUAACUCCGUGCCAGCAGCCGCGGUAAUACGGAGGAUGCGAGCGUUAUCCGGAUUUAUUGGGUUUAAAGGGAGCGUAGGUGGACUGGUAAGUCAGUUGUGAAAGUUUGCGGCUCAACCGUAAAAUUGCAGUUGAUACUGUCAGUCUUGAGUACAGUAGAGGUGGGCGGAAUUCGUGGUGUAGCGGUGAAAUGCUUAGAUAUCACGAAGAACUCCGAUUG
RNAcentral lists this ribosomal RNA (686 nucleotides) under uncultured bacterium. RNAcentral describes it as "bacterial SSU rRNA". It matches the Rfam family "Bacterial small subunit ribosomal RNA", at positions 32 to 715 of the family's 1533-position model. The record is from RNAcentral.